AGUGAACGCUGGCGGUAGGCCUAACACAUGCCAGUCGAACGGCAGCACAGUAAGAGCUUGCUCUUACGGGUGGCGAGUGGCGGACGUGUGAGGAAUACAUCGGAAUCUACUUUUUCGUGGGGGAUAACGUAGGGAAACUUACGCUAAUACCGCAUACGACCUACGGGUGAAAGCAGGGGAUCUUCGGACCUUGCGCGAUUGAAUGAGCCGAUGGCGGAUUGGCUAGUUGGCGGGGGAAAGGCCCACCAAGGCGACGAUCCGGAGCUGGUCUGCGAGGAUGGUUAGCCACACUGGAACUGAGACACGGUCCAGACUCCUAGGGGAGGCAGCAGUGGGGAAUAUUGGGCAAUGGGCGCAAGCCUGAUCCAGCCAUACCGAGUGGGUGAAGAAGGCCUUCGGGUUGUAAAGCCCUUUUGUUGGGAAAGAAAAGCAGCAGGUUAAUACCCCGCUGUUCUGACGGUACCCAAAGAAUAAGCACCGGCUAACUUCGUG
RNAcentral lists this ribosomal RNA (492 nucleotides) under uncultured bacterium. RNAcentral's name for it is "partial 16S ribosomal RNA". It matches the Rfam family "Bacterial small subunit ribosomal RNA", at positions 29 to 507 of the family's 1533-position model. The record is from RNAcentral.